GGGCUGUUGGUCUAGUGGUAUGAUUCUCGCUUAGGGUUCACCCCAAGCUUAUCUGCGAGAGGUCCCGGGUUCGACUCCCGGAUAGCCCC
Molecule: transfer RNA, 89 nt
Filed under: Phialemonium atrogriseum
Lineage: Eukaryota; Fungi; Ascomycota; Sordariomycetes; Cephalothecales; Cephalothecaceae
Description: tRNA-Pro
Rfam family: tRNA
About the family: Transfer RNA (tRNA) molecules are approximately 80 nucleotides in length.
Source: RNAcentral